Etheostoma spectabile (orangethroat darter) is the source of this 132-nucleotide long non-coding RNA. RefSeq lists it as uncharacterized. Lineage: Eukaryota; Metazoa; Chordata; Actinopteri; Perciformes; Percidae. The record is from RefSeq and is a predicted model, not a curated record. The transcript has 3 exons.
GGUUUGGAAGAUUAAAUGUAUUUGUAUUUCUUAUAAGGAUCCCCAUUAGCUGACGCCUAGACGACCAGCUAGUCUUCCUGGUGUUCAAAACAACAUUUAAUCAGACAAUAUUAAAACAUUACAUGACAUACA